GUGAGGAAUAUUGGUCAAUGGGCGGGAGCCUGAACCAGCCAAGUCGCGUGAAGGAAGAAGGAUCUAUGGUUCGUAAACUUCUUUUGCAGGGGAAUAAAGUGCAGGACGUGUCCUGUUUUGUAUGUACCCUGAGAAUAAGGAUCGGCUAACUCCGUGCCAGCAGCCGCGGUAAUACGGAGGAUCCGAGCGUUGUCCGGAUUUAUUGGGUUUAAAGGGUGCGUAGGUGGUUUGAUAAGUCAGCGGUGAAAGUUUGCAGCUUAACUGUAAAAAUGCCGUUGAAACUGUCGGACUUGAGUGUAAAUGAGGUAGGCGGAAUGCGUGGUGUAGCGGUGAAAUGCAUAGAUAUCACGCAGAACUCCGAUUGCGAAGGCAGCUUACUAAGCUACAACUGACACUGAAGCACGAAAGCGUGGGGAUCAAACAGGAUUAGAUACCCUGGUAGUCC
This 445-nucleotide ribosomal RNA is filed under the name uncultured bacterium. Its description in RNAcentral is "partial 16S ribosomal RNA". It matches the Rfam family "Bacterial small subunit ribosomal RNA", at positions 354 to 796 of the family's 1533-position model. The record is from RNAcentral.